AGUGACGCCGCGUGCAGGACGACGCCUUUCGGGUGUAAACUGCUUUUCUUCGGGACGAGAACGGACGGUACCGGAGGAAGAAGCCUCGGCUAACUACGUGC
RNAcentral lists this ribosomal RNA (101 nucleotides) under uncultured bacterium. Its description in RNAcentral is "partial 16S ribosomal RNA". It matches the Rfam family "Bacterial small subunit ribosomal RNA", at positions 390 to 508 of the family's 1533-position model. The record is from RNAcentral.